GGUCCCGUAGUGUAGCGGUUAUCACGUCGCCCUGUCACGGCGAAGAUCACGGGUUCGAUUCCCGUCGGGACCG
This 73-nucleotide transfer RNA is filed under the name Streptococcus pneumoniae. RNAcentral's name for it is "tRNA-Asp". It matches the Rfam family "tRNA". Rfam says of the family: Transfer RNA (tRNA) molecules are approximately 80 nucleotides in length. Their secondary structure includes four short double-helical elements and three loops (D, anti-codon, and T loops). The record is from RNAcentral. Lineage: Bacteria; Bacillati; Bacillota; Bacilli; Lactobacillales; Streptococcaceae.